UACGUAGGGGGCUAGCGUUGUCCAGAAUCAUUGGGCGUAAAGCGCGUGUAGGCGGUCCGGUAAGUCCGCUGUGAAAGUCGGGGGCUCAACCCUCGAAUGCCGGUGGAUACUGUCGGGCUAGAGUGCGGAAGAGGCGAGUGGAAUUCCUGGUGUAGCGGUGAAAUGCGCAGAUAUCAGGAGGAACACCAAUUGCGAAGGCAGCUCGCUGGGACGUAACUGACGCUGAGACGCGAAAGCGUGGGGAGCAAACAGG
RNAcentral lists this ribosomal RNA (253 nucleotides) under uncultured bacterium. RNAcentral's name for it is "partial 16S ribosomal RNA". It matches the Rfam family "Bacterial small subunit ribosomal RNA", at positions 524 to 776 of the family's 1533-position model. The record is from RNAcentral.